RNAcentral lists this long non-coding RNA (2169 nucleotides) under Drosophila guanche. The record is from RNAcentral. Lineage: Eukaryota; Metazoa; Arthropoda; Insecta; Diptera; Drosophilidae.
UUUUUAGGAAACAUCUGUUUUAAGAGAACAAUAAUUCAAUUGACCAAUAGUUUAUUUCUAAACAAAAGAAGAAACAAAUUGAAGAACAUGAACAACAUGCUUAGCAACAGAAGCAAAAAAAAACUAAGUGUUUCAUCAAAACCUCUAGGCAAAGUGGAUUCCCCCCUGGCAAAAUAUCCUUUACCAAAAUACAUAAAAUACAUGUAAAUGUGCGUACUUAGGUAUAUACAUACAUAUGUGCGUACUAAUAGAACGAUUGAUUUGUUUAAUGUGGUGGAGAGAACUUUCCUUGAGAUUUUAUUAACAUGGUUCCCGCCAGCUCGAACUUGCAGACAUUUGUUUACUUGUGCCGACGUCACCGGUCAUUCACAAAUGCAUAAAAUAUCCUAAGCAGCAAGAUCCAUUGAUCUAUUUCCAAUAAAUCAUAAACCUUCGACAUAUGUACAUAUGUUUGUACAUUCAACGACAUUUAAAGUAGAAGACGAAAUUCUACUUUUUGCUCUUCUAUGUCUAAAAUUUGAAUUUGUUUGAGUCUGUGUAUACUAGUGCACAUAUUGCAUUUGAAAACAUUAUCCAGUAAAAACCAUUUUAAAUUAUUUUUAUGCUCGAUAAAAUUUGUUUAAAAAUUAUUUUAAAUCUUUGUCCAGAAGAAAAAAUUCCAACAAUAAAAACAUUUAAGUAGAACUGCAGUCUAUCUUUAAGCCCUGAUGGUUUAUUAUGGGAUUAGUCACUAGUUCAGCUAAAAAGUGUUAUGGAUUAGGUACAACUUUAUAUGAGCCAAUAUAACCAUAAUCUGAUAAUGAGCAGAAAAACAUAAAAUAAUUUUUGAAAAUAUUAAAUAUUAUGGUAGACCGAUUUAAAUUUUCCACUUUACAUUUUUGGUUUUCUUAACUAAAGCUAACACAUACGACGCCUCAGGAAUCUUAACAUGCAUAAUAUGCCGGAUUGUUAUCAAGCCAAAUGUCUGGAAGGUGCAUGUUAACUCCAAACAACAUAAAUUAAAUGUGGACUUGGCAAAGAAAAAUAAGACGACUAUUUUAGAUGUAACUUCCAAAAAAGAAUCUGUGCAGUCACUUUCCAACAUAAAUUGUAGCACAUACCAAGAUAAGACUGUACGAAAAAGUGAAAAUUCGGACACCAGGGUAACUGAACCAUUACCUGGUACAUUUUUCGAUUCAGAGAAGUCAAGUAAGUCUCAUCAAGCUGAUCCCAACGAAGAUGAAGAGUGGAUACGCUUUCAACGAGAAAUAAAAAUGGCUGCUACAGUUUCUAGUACUAUUGUUGCUGAAGAACAAGAAAAUAUUAAUAUUAAAAGACAACUAAAGGAAAUAGAUGAACAGAUUGACAAUUGGAAACGAUUUAUUAAAAUAAAUGACCAGAAGAAUAGUCUAAUAAGUAGGAAGCGCAAAUUCAACAAAGAAGUGGCAGUACAUUCGGAUUCAAGUUCAAGUGACGAAGAAUGUCGUGUAGAUGACUUGUUCGACUGGAGAACUAAAAACAUGCAUUAAAAAUAAGAUGGACUUCUAUUUCGCAAAUGUAUAUCAAUUUAUAUAUAGAGACAUGUUCAAUGAAAUGCAUGUUAUUGAGAAUACUUGCGGAAAAUCUAAUAAACGUUUCAUGCGUGCAUACUGUGUAUGUAUGAAAUCUUUUAAUAUAUUACCUGUACCUUAUAUUUGAUGUGUUAUUAUAUCUGAGCUCAGUAAGUGCCAUGGAUACCGAUUGAUACCGCAUGAUCUCUGUGUCUUUAGGUGUCUCGAUUCUCAAAAGCUUGAUAUGUGGGUUAAUCCGGGAAGUGAGUUAAUCGGGAAAGAGAAAUGCUAUCCUCUUCAUCAGUACUUAUUUCACUUUCUACUUUAAAACUAUAUCUGUCUGUCCGUCCGUCUGUCCGUCUGUCCGUACUGAUGAGUAGUAAGACACAGAGACCAUAAGAGAUAGGGCAACCAAGUCUUGCAUCCCGACUUCUGUAUGGUCACAAUGUAUCAAGUGUAUAUAGUAUGUGUCACACCUAGGUUAUGGUACAUUUAUACUGUGUACCAGGUAUAAAAGUUGUGACGCGCACAAAGCGUCUCACAAAGUUCAUACUCGUUUUUACAUACGCUGAGCAUACUACUAGGGCCCAGUAGUGUCAAACAUUUGGAGGUGAUGCAGACUGUUGCUGAAAAUACUGCG